AUAGCGUAUAUUAAAGUUGUUGCAGUUAAAAAGCUCGUAGUUGAACUUCAGGCCUGGCCGGAUGGUCUGCCUAACGGUAUGUACUGUCUGGCUGGGUCUUACCUCUUGGUGAGCCGGCAUGCCCUUCACUGGGUGUGUUGGGGAACCAGGACUUUUACCUUGAGAAAAUUAGAGUGUUCAAAGCAGGCUUAUGCUCGAAUACAUUAGCAUGGAAUAAUAAAAUAGGACGUGCGGUUCUAUUUUGUUGGUUUCUAGAGUCGCCGUAAUGAUUAAUAGGGAUAGUUGGGGGCAUUAGUAUUCAGUUGCUAGAGGUGAAAUUCUUGGAUUUACUGAAGACUAACUAUUG
This 346-nucleotide ribosomal RNA is filed under the name uncultured eukaryote. RNAcentral's name for it is "SSU rRNA". It matches the Rfam family "Eukaryotic small subunit ribosomal RNA", at positions 594 to 945 of the family's 1831-position model. The record is from RNAcentral.